AAAUAAAAGAAGUUAAAUAAGAAAAAAGAAAUCAGUGCAUCCAACAUUUAUAUUUGUGCAUUUUAUCAAUCAUCCCAUCAUACAUGAACUGGAGAGAGAGAGAGAGAAAAUGCGGCCAACUCCUUUAGACGCUGACGACACCAUCCGCUUCCAACCACCGCCAUCGCCUCCGUGUCACGACCUCCGCGCCUGUACUUGGCGGCCGUACUCCAAUUCCAGAGACUUCGAAGCCAACGCCGCCGUCGUCGUCAUCAUCCUCCUCUGUGGGCUCAUCUGCGCUCUCGCUCUCAACACCGCCAUCCGCUGCUUCCUCCGCCGUCGCGGCAGUGCCGAUGACGAUCCGAGUGA
This 348-nucleotide unclassified non-coding RNA is filed under the name Hevea brasiliensis (rubber tree). Lineage: Eukaryota; Viridiplantae; Streptophyta; Magnoliopsida; Malpighiales; Euphorbiaceae. The record is from RNAcentral.